AGGCUCCAAGUCAGUGGUCAGGCUUGUUGGAGUUUCUCCAGGGACCCCCUCCCACCUGGCUGUCUCACAAGGACAACAUGUGGCAGGGAACCCUAGCAAAGACCAUGACGGAGAAGACACAUUUAAGCUGAGAGGUGAAGGGAUGCUCUUCACUUCUUACAAGUUGGAAUGCCAGGCUGCUGCUCAGGUGAUCUGCCUCUUGGACCAGCUCUGAAGAUGGGACAAUGAUCAGUGUAAGAUCCCUGAGAUGCUGAGACACGAUGGGAUGGAGGAAAGCUAUGGGACAAGUGGCCUUUCAUAGGAGGAGGAGCUCCUUGUCAAAUGUGAGGAGCGAAGCAGGACAGGAGCAUGAGAACAGGAAGCCAGAAGUUAUGGGCACACUCAAGCAGCACUAGGGAGAGGCUCAUGAGUAGAACUGAGGCAUCCUGCAAACAGCCGUGGACUAACCUGUAUUGGGAACAGAUUCUCCAGCUCCACGUAAGUCUUCAGAUGAUGGUUUAUUUUCUUUUUUUAAUUAAAAAAUUUUUAAAAAGGUAAUUAAAUUUAAGGAGGACUUCCCUUAUUAUAUCAAGAGGUUAAUACUCAAAAUGGUGGUGGUGUGUCAUUUUUAAGAAUUUUCCUUCAGAAUGAAAUUCUAAUGAUCUGGUAAGCAGUUAGAAUUUGGUUCUGCCCUAAGGCUCCUUUCUCUUAAUAAGAUUAAAAAUUGAGGGUAAACAGGAAACAAAAUCUGAGAUGUGCAUUGAUUUCAAAUGAAGCUCAGUAACCCCCAAAUGUAAAAGUCCUUCCUGACAUAACACACAUAUCAAGACCCAAGAUUUCUCAGAGAGAAUCCGAUGCCCACUCUCUAGAGGCUAAGCUCCCACUGCGGGGGCAAUGUUACCUGUUACCUUUAGCUCUUUUUUCUCUCUCUGGCUUUUAUCUCAGAGGUCUGUUCCUUAGUCUCUGUUGAGGUGAAACUCCAAUAUCUGAACUCAACCAGCCAAAUAAGCAACCUGUGUACAAGCCAAGUUAAAGUUUCACUCCCAUAAUGGAUGAGGAGAAACCAGAAGACAUUUCUCAUGUGCAGGGAGUGCAUGAAUCCCCUGAAUUGCCAGGUUUCAGGGUCACAAGAGACCUCUAGAAGGCUCUGCUCAUCAUCACCUUAUCAUCUGGUAGGUUCCAGGUAUCUGGGUGCACGUGAAUUAAGUCUUAAUGACUUUAAAUUCUGUCUCAAAUUUUUAUCCUCUUAUAAGUUUAAGCUUUUUGUCUGAGGAAAAGUGCAAAUAUUCCAUGAAGAAGUGAGGUCAGAUCUCUUUUGGCAGGGAUAAAGAAUACCACAGAGUGGGUCCUAAUGGCAAGGAGAGAGAAAGAGUAAGUAAGUAAGUAAGUUUUGAAGUGUAUGGGAAUGCCUUGGA
Molecule: long non-coding RNA, 1394 nt
Organism: Symphalangus syndactylus (siamang)
Lineage: Eukaryota; Metazoa; Chordata; Mammalia; Primates; Hylobatidae
Source: RefSeq, a predicted model, not a curated record